AGUGAACGCUGGCGGUAGGCCUAACACUUGCAAGUCGAACGGCAGCACAGUAAGAGCUUGCUCUUACGGGUGGCGAGUGGCGGACGGGUGAGGAAUACAUCGGAAUCUACUUUUUCGUGGGGGAUAACGUAGGGAAACUUACGCUAAUACCGCAUACGACCUACGGGUGAAAGUAGGGGAUCUUCGGACCUUGCGCGAUUGAAUGAGCCGAUGUCGGAUUAGCUAGUUGGCGGGGUAAAGGCCCACCAAGGCGACGAUCCGUAGCUGGUCUGAGAGGAUGAUCAGCCACACUGGAACUGAGACACGGUCCAGACUCCUACGGGAGGCAGCAGUGGGGAAUAUUGGACAAUGGGCGCAAGCCUGAUCCAGCCAUACCGCGUGGGUGAAGAAGGCCUUCGGGUUGUAAAGCCCUUUUGUUGGGAAAGAAAAGCAGCAGGUUAAUACCCCGCUGUUCUGACGGUACCCAAAGAAUAAGCACCGGCUAACUUCGUG
RNAcentral lists this ribosomal RNA (492 nucleotides) under uncultured bacterium. RNAcentral's name for it is "partial 16S ribosomal RNA". It matches the Rfam family "Bacterial small subunit ribosomal RNA", at positions 29 to 507 of the family's 1533-position model. The record is from RNAcentral.